Carassius gibelio (silver crucian carp) is the source of this 630-nucleotide long non-coding RNA. RefSeq lists it as uncharacterized. The transcript has 2 exons. The record is from RefSeq and is a predicted model, not a curated record. Lineage: Eukaryota; Metazoa; Chordata; Actinopteri; Cypriniformes; Cyprinidae.
AUCAGAAUCCAUUCCUCUAGAACAGUGAUCCUCAAAUCUGGCUCGCGAGACCCACUUUCCUGCGGAGUUGAGCUCUAACCCUAAUCAAGCACACCUGAGUUUACUAAUCAGUGUCUUCGGGAUCAUUAGAAAAUCACAGGUAGGUUUGUUUAGGAAAGUGGAUCUCGCGAGCCAGAUUUAUGGAUCACUGCUCUAGAAGGUCAUCAGUAGCUUGUAAUUCAGCUUCAGAGGAUGGGUGGGUAGGAGGCUCAUUCAGGGCACACAUCUUUACCAGCCCUGAGCUGAUCCGGAGCUAACAGACUCCUCUGUGGUGACAGACUCGCACAAGGAGACCUGCAGCUAAGGGGUUAAAGAUAGAUGGUACCAGCCAGAGGAAACCUUCACCAUGAGAGACAACUUCAUUUACUUUUUCAUUCCUUAAAGACUGUAGCUGUCAUGAUCAUCAACUGGAGGGCCCGUGAACUCCAAUAAAAGCUUUGGAUUGUUUAUAGUACCUGUGAUUCUCUGCUGCCUGCCCGACCUAUGACUGUUAUUGUUGCUGUUUCUGGAUAUCCCUUGACACACCUGAUGCUGUUCCUAAUUUCUGCCUGUCUGACCAUUCUUUAAUAAACUACUGCAUAUGAAUCCCAA